CAAUAGCGUAUAUUAAAGUUGUUGCAGUUAAAAGCUCGUAGUUGGAUUUCUGUUCUCGAGGAUCGGUCCGCCUCACGGUGAGCACUGGUUUUUCUUGGGGACAUCCUCUCGAAGGCGGGUGGUGCACUUAAUUGUGUGCUGCUUGGAUUCGGGACCUUUACUUUGAAAAAUUAGAGUGUUCAAAGCAGGCGUCGGCUUGAAUACAUUAGCAUGGAAUAAUGGAAUAGGACUUUGGUUCUAUUUUGUUGGUUUCUAGGACCGAAGUAAUGAUUAAUAGGGACAGUUGGGGGCGUCAGUAUUCUGAAGCGAGAGGUGAAAUUCUUGGACCUUCGGAAGACUAACAACUGCGAAAGCAUUCGCCUAGGAUGUUCUCUUUAAUCAAGAACGAAAGUUAGGGGGAGUCAAAGACGAUCAGAUACCAU
This 422-nucleotide ribosomal RNA is filed under the name uncultured eukaryote. RNAcentral describes it as "bacterial SSU rRNA". It matches the Rfam family "Eukaryotic small subunit ribosomal RNA", at positions 592 to 1018 of the family's 1831-position model. The record is from RNAcentral.